Non-coding RNA from Ceratotherium simum simum (southern white rhinoceros), 114 nucleotides. Lineage: Eukaryota; Metazoa; Chordata; Mammalia; Perissodactyla; Rhinocerotidae. The record is from RefSeq and is a predicted model, not a curated record.
CCCCAGUGGGACAAGAAAACUCAGACCACAAUCCUUCCCUACCUGAGCGCUUCUUCCUCCAGAUCACAACUCCAGCCACCACAGCUCCAAGGAGAACCAGGCCAGCAAUGAUGC